This 612-nucleotide ribosomal RNA is filed under the name uncultured bacterium. RNAcentral describes it as "bacterial SSU rRNA". It matches the Rfam family "Bacterial small subunit ribosomal RNA", at positions 28 to 658 of the family's 1533-position model. The record is from RNAcentral.
GAUAAACGCUGGCGGCGUGCAUCAGGCAUGCAAGUCGAACGAUUUUUAUCGGUUCGCCGGUAACGAUAGUGGCGGACGGGUGAGUAACACGUAAGUAACCUGCCCAGAAGUGGGGAAUAACUGGCCGAAAGGUUUGCUAAUUCCGCAUGUGGUGGGGCUCCCACGGGAGCUUCACAAAAGGCGAAAGUCGCUUCUGGAGGGGCUUGCGGCCGAUUAGCUUGUUGGUGGGGUAAUGGCCUACCAAGGCUCCGAUCGGUAGCUGGUCUGAGAGGACGGUCAGCCACAUGGGGACUGAGAUACGGCCCCAACUCCUACGGGAGGCAGCAGCUAGGAAUAUUGGGAAUGGGCGAAAGCCUGACCCAGCAACGCCGCGUGGGCGAUGAAGGCUUUCGGGUCGUAAAGCCCUUUUGCAGGGGACGAUGAUGACGGUACCCUGCGAAUAAGCCACGGCUAACUACGUGCCAGCAGCCGCGGUAAUACGUAGGUGGCGAGCGUUGUCCGGAUUUACUGGGCGUAAAGGGCGUGCAGGCGGUUUGCUAAGUUUAGGGUGAAAGCUCCCGGCUCAACUGGGAGAGGUCCUUAGAUACUGGCAGACUUGAGGGAGGUAGAGGA